This 505-nucleotide ribosomal RNA is filed under the name uncultured bacterium. RNAcentral describes it as "bacterial SSU rRNA". It matches the Rfam family "Bacterial small subunit ribosomal RNA", at positions 29 to 525 of the family's 1533-position model. The record is from RNAcentral.
AACGAACGCUGGCGGCGUGUCUUAAGCAUGCAAGUCGAGCGGCAAGGGUAGCAAUACCCCUAGAGCGGCGGACUGGUGAGUAACACGUGGGUGAUCUACCUCGGGGAUGGGGAUAGCCAUUAGAAAUAGUGGGUAAUACCGAAUACGUUAGCAAGCUUGCGAGCUUGUUAAGAAAGGCGCUACGGCGCCACCCUGAGAUGAGCCCGCGCCCCAUUAGCUAGUUGGUGAGGUAACGGCCCACCAAGGCGAUGAUGGGUAGGCGGCCUGAGAGGGUGUACGCCCACACUGGGACUGAGAUACGGCCCAGACUCCUACGGGAGGCAGCAGCUAAGAAUAUUCCGCAAUGGACGAAAGUCUGACGGAGCGACGCCGCGUGGAUGAUGAAGGCCGGAAGAUUGUAAAAUCCUUUUGCCGGGGAAGAAUAAGCAUGGGAGGGAAUGCCCGUGUGAUGACAUGAACCGGCGAAUAAGCCCCGGCUAACUACGUGCCAGCAGCCGCGGUAAAG